This 109-nucleotide ribosomal RNA is filed under the name Mastacembelus armatus (zig-zag eel). The record is from RNAcentral. Lineage: Eukaryota; Metazoa; Chordata; Actinopteri; Synbranchiformes; Mastacembelidae.
GCCUACGGCCAUACCGUCCUGCCAGUGCCCGAUCCUGUCUGAUCUCAGAAGCUAAGCAGGACCAGGCCUUGUUAGGGAGACCGCCUGGGAAUACCAGGUGCUGUAGGCU